This is a long non-coding RNA of Oreochromis aureus, 1830 nucleotides long. Lineage: Eukaryota; Metazoa; Chordata; Actinopteri; Cichliformes; Cichlidae. The record is from Ensembl.
CAACGGUCCAGCGACGAGAGACACAAAGCUGCCAUCUUAUAAAGGAGCUGGAACACUCUCAUGAUGAGCCACAGGUGCGUGGGUCAGGGGCAGGAGCCCACAGGUGAGCUCCGCCCAGGCCGAGGGAGGAGGGAAAGAGAGGAAGGGAGAGAGCAGGAACAAAAAUGAAAAUAAAACAUAUGUAGCCAUGCUGAGCCGACCGGGUAGGCACAGGGACCCUGACAAAUUCAACUGAAUCUUAAAAAUAUGUAAUUUAGCAUCACAUCACCAUAAAAUCAACAACUGAAAAAUAAAACAAAAUAAAAAGAAAGACCUAAAUUAAAACAGUUUGUGAUUUGUCUUGUGCUUUCAAAAUACAUUGUCAAAUAUAAAAAGUGCUGCAUUUAUAUGCUCUGCUCAUCAGUACUGGUAUUUUAAUGUAAGCAAACACAGGGAACAUAUACCGAUGGGUAAGUACUACAGAUGAAAUAAACUUGGGAUGCAAAGAAACCAUGAAAUAAUGAAUGAAAUAGUGAAGUUUAGAAAUAAAAUAAACAACUAUUUUAAUUAAUCCAGUGUCCAGUGGGACAUGCAGCCUCCAACUACUCCCAUGCUCACCGCCCUGCAUUGUUACAAAGGCACUAGUGUAUUUAAGAAUAACCUUUUUAUUAAGGUUUAACACAUUUUUACACAGACACACAGCUUUGCUUCCUCACAAAACCAAACAUAAAAUCCACCAAACGUCUUUGCUGGCAGAGGUAAUGAUUCUCCCAGCAGGGAUCUGUAGAGUGUAUUAAUCUGUGAUAUAAGCAGCAGUCACUGAAAUAUUACUGUUUCAGAUAAGAAAUCAACCACGUAAAAGGCACGGUGGGAGGGUUUUUAAAUCAAUGUGGGCUGUCUGCAUUUUGAGGCUUAAACUGGUUUUUAGAAGCUAUGACUCACUGUCUUCUUACAUGCCUUAUAGAUUUCUUAAUUUACACACUGAUUUUCACAAUGGCAGCUACUUUUGAGGAAUCAUUGCAGUCAUUUGACUGUGUGCGGUUUAGUGUUAUCUCACAAACUGUAGCUGAAGGCCUGAUUUUUCUCUAAAGAUACUUCUUGAAAGAUCAUAUGCCACAAACUUAGUUUAGAGAGGCCACGAUGUAUGUAGUGAAGUCUGCAAGUUUUGAACAUUGAAAUUUGUUUUGUGCCUAAAUUAUUCUGCAGAUCAUAAGAAUGAAAAGUUAUUGGUCAUUAUUAAAGAGCCCCUUUUAAAAAAUAAGCUUUCCCGACAUUAUUGUGUGUUGGGUGGUGGUCAGGGCUAUCCAGACUGACAGGACACCAGGAGAGAUGCAUCCUCUGUCACAGAUGGUGUGGUCAGUGAAGAUGGUCACUGCAGGUUCAAGCUCAUUGCAUCUCCAACCCACAUCCACUGCCACUGUACUUAAGGGAAGUUAAAGACUUUCUUCUGCACUUGGAUCGCCUCAAUCCAUGACAGUCAUUCAGGCAAUAAUGCCUGGACUGGAAACAAGUCAUCCUUAAAAUAUUACAAUAUACCAAGCUUCUGUGUUUGAAUGCAAAACAAAGGUGUUGUUUGAUCUAAAGACUGCACUUGUGGCUACGCAAUAAAUAUAUUUUCUUUUGAUUAUAUAAUUAAUGUAACUUGCAAAACAAAGUUGUGGAAAGCCUAAACUUAGUUUCAGAAUAAUUAAAUCUGAGACUUUGUUUCAUUGUAAGAUUAUAACAAUGAUGGCAAUAUAAUUGUCUAUUGUUCAGCAGAACAGUGUCCAGUAUGUUGGCUGAUAUACCUUUUUGCAUUUGAAAAUAAAAGUUGGGCUGAUUUUAACACCAUUACAAGAAGUGUUGUUAAUU